AAUCAACGCUGGCGGCGUGCCUCAGACAUGCAAGUCGAACGAUUAAACUUUCCUUCGGGAAAGAUAUAAAGUGGCGCACGGGUGAGUAACACGUAGGUAAUGUACCGAAGGGUGGGGAAUAACUUAGGGAAACUUAAGCUAAUACCGCAUAAUGCAGCGGCUCGACAUCGGGACAGUUGUUAAAGGAGCAAUCCGCCUUUUGAGCAGCCUGCGGCAGAUUAGCUAGUUGGUAAGGUGAUGGCUUACCAAGGCUACGAUCUGUAACCGACCUGAGAGGGUGGUCGGUCACACUGACACUGAAUAACGGGUCAG
Molecule: ribosomal RNA, 312 nt
Filed under: uncultured bacterium
Lineage: Bacteria
Description: bacterial SSU rRNA
Rfam family: Bacterial small subunit ribosomal RNA
Source: RNAcentral